RNAcentral lists this ribosomal RNA (1193 nucleotides) under metagenome. RNAcentral's name for it is "bacterial SSU rRNA". It matches the Rfam family "Bacterial small subunit ribosomal RNA", at positions 310 to 1520 of the family's 1533-position model. The record is from RNAcentral.
ACACUGGCACUGAAACACGGGCCAGACUCCUACGGGAGGCAGCAGUGGGGAAUCUUGCACAAUGGGGGAAACCCUGAUGCAGCGACGCCGCGUGAGCGAUGAAGCCCUUCGGGGUGUAAAGCUCUUUCGGCAGGGAAGAUUAUGACGGUACCUGCAGAAGCAGCUGCGGCUAACUACGUGCCAGCAGCCGCGGUAAUACGUAGGCAGCAAGCGUUGUUCGGAGUUACUGGGCGUAAAGGGUGUGUAGGCGGUGAUUUAAGUUUGGUGUGAAAUCUCCCGGCUUAACCGGGAGGGUGCGCCGAAUACUGAAUGACUUGGAGUGCGGGAGAGGAAAGUGGAAUUCCUGGUGUAGCGGUGAAAUGCGUAGAUAUCAGGAGGAACACCGGUGGUGUAGACGGCUUUCUGGACCGUAACUGACGCUGAGACACGAAAGCGUGGGUAGCAAACAGGAUUAGAUACCCUGGUAGUCCACGCCCUAAACGAUGCAUAUUUGGUGUGGGCAGUUCAUUCUGUCCGUGCCGGAGCUAACGCGUUAAAUAUGCCGCCUGGGGAGUACAGUCGCAAGGCUGAAACUCAAAGGAAUUGACGGGGGCCCGCACAAGCGGUGGAGCAUGUGGUUCAAUUCGACCACGCGAAGAACCUUACCUGGGCUCGAACGGCUGGUCAACGGAGGUGGAAACAUCUUUACCCCGCAAGGGGGUCCAGUCGAGGUGCUGCAUGGCUGUCGUCAGCUCGUGUCGUGAGAUGUUGGGUUAAGUCCCGCAACGAGCGCAACCCCUGUCCUGUGUUGCCAUCAUUCAGUUGGGAACUCGCAGGAGACCGCCAGCGAUAAGUUGGAGGAAGGUGGGGAUGACGUCAAGUCCUCAUGGCCUUUAUGUCCAGGGCUACACACGUGCUACAAUGGACGGUACAAUACGUCCCGAACCCGCGAGGGGGAGGCAAUCGGAAAAAACCGUUCUCAGUUCGGAUUGCAGGCUGCAACUCGCCUGCAUGAAGCUGGAAUCGCUAGUAAUGGCAGAUCAGCACGCUGCCGUGAAUACGUUCCCGGGCCUUGUACACACCGCCCGUCACAUCACGAAAGUGGAUUGUACUAGAAGUCUGCAGGCUGACCCGCAAGGGGGGCAGCGGCCCAAGGUAUGAUCCAUGAUUGGGGUGAAGUCGUAACAAGGUAGCCGUAGGAGAACCUGCGGCUG